RNAcentral lists this transfer RNA (68 nucleotides) under Neogeoscapheus hirsutus. Its description in RNAcentral is "tRNA-Ser". It matches the Rfam family "tRNA". Rfam says of the family: Transfer RNA (tRNA) molecules are approximately 80 nucleotides in length. Their secondary structure includes four short double-helical elements and three loops (D, anti-codon, and T loops). The record is from RNAcentral. Lineage: Eukaryota; Metazoa; Arthropoda; Insecta; Blattodea; Blaberidae.
AGUUAUUCACUUAUAAAAGUAUUAUGUCUUGAAAACAUAUAAAAGAGGUUGAAUUCCUCUAAUAACUU